UUGUUUAGUUUUUAUUUCAUGAUCAUAAACUUAACUCUGCAAUGCAGCUAGACUUGGAAAUGGAUAAGGAAAAUAUGAAACCCAAAGAACUACAGUGGGAACACAAAGAUUAUAGGAUAUUUUGAGCAGAUGGGGGUAGAGAGGUGCUCUCCUGAGCUACAGAAGGAAUGGUCUGGUGGUUAAGAUAGGACAAGGAAAAAUCU
Ceratotherium simum simum (southern white rhinoceros) is the source of this 203-nucleotide non-coding RNA. Lineage: Eukaryota; Metazoa; Chordata; Mammalia; Perissodactyla; Rhinocerotidae. The record is from RefSeq and is a predicted model, not a curated record.